RNAcentral lists this ribosomal RNA (494 nucleotides) under uncultured bacterium. RNAcentral's name for it is "bacterial SSU rRNA". It matches the Rfam family "Bacterial small subunit ribosomal RNA", at positions 24 to 518 of the family's 1533-position model. The record is from RNAcentral.
UCAGGAUGAACGCUGGCGGCGUGCUAACACAUGCAAGUCGAACGAAGCAACUUAUUACGAUCUUUCGGAGUGACGAUUGUGACUGAGUGGCGGACGGGUGAGUAACGCGUGGGUAACCUGCCUCGUACAGGGGGACAACAGUUGGAAACGGCUGCUAAUACCGCAUAAGCGCACAGUACCGCAUGGUACAGUGUGAAAAACUCCGGUGGUACGAGAUGGACCCGCGUCUGAUUAGCUAGUUGGUGAGGUAACGGCCCACCAAGGCGACGAUCAGUAGCCGAUCUGGGAGGAUGAACGGCCACAUUGGGACUGAGACACGGCCCAGACUCCUACGGGAGGCAGCAGUGGGGAAUAUUGCACAAUGGGCGAAAGCCUGAUGCAGCGAACCGCCGCGUGAGCGAUGAAGUAUUUCGGUAUGUAAAGCUCUAUCAGCAGGGAAGAAAAAUGACGGUACCUGACUAAGAAGCACCGGCUAAAUACGUGCCAGCCGCAGC